This 343-nucleotide unclassified non-coding RNA is filed under the name soil metagenome. RNAcentral's name for it is "partial contains 5.8S ribosomal RNA, internal transcribed spacer 2, and large subunit ribosomal RNA". The stretch from base 1 to 120 matches the Rfam family "5.8S ribosomal RNA", at positions 35 to 154 of the family's 154-position model. The record is from RNAcentral.
GAUGAAGAACGCAGCGAAAUGCGAUAAGUAAUGUGAAUUGCAGAAUUCAGUGAAUCAUCGAAUCUUUGAACGCACAUUGCGCCCGCUAGUAUUCUGGCGGGCAUGCCUGUCCGAGCGUCAUUUCAACCCUCAAGCCCCCGGGCUUGGUGUUGGGGAUCGGCGAGCCUCCGCGCCCGCCGUCCCCUAAAUCUAGUGGCGGUCUCGCUGUAGCUCCCUCUGCGUAGUAGCACACCUCGCACUGGGAAACAGCGCGGCCACGCCGUUAAACCCCCAACUUCUGAACGUUUGACCUCGGAUCAGGUAGGAAUACCCGCUGAACUUAAGCAUAUCAAUAAGCGGAGGA